CCUACGGGAGGCAGCAGUGAGGAAUAUUGGUCAAUGGGCUUACGCCUGAACCAGCCAAGUCGCGUGAGGGAAGACUGCCCUAUGGGUUGUAAACCUCUUUUGUCAGGGAGCAACGCCGGCUACGUGUAGCCGUACUGAGAGUACCUGAAGAAAAAGCAUCGGCUAACUCCGUGCCAGAAGCCGCGGUAAUACGGGGGAUGCGAGCUUUAUCCGGAUUUAUUGGGUUUAAAGGGUGCGUAGGCGGACUGCCAAGUCAGCGGUAAAGUCGCGGGGCUCAACCUCGCUCCGCAGUUGAAACUGGCGUUCUUGAGUGGGCGAGAAGUAUGCGGAAUGCGUGGUGUAGCGGUGAAAUGCAUAGAUAUCACGAAGAACUCCGAUUGCGAAGGCAGCAUAC
RNAcentral lists this ribosomal RNA (394 nucleotides) under uncultured bacterium. RNAcentral describes it as "partial 16S ribosomal RNA". It matches the Rfam family "Bacterial small subunit ribosomal RNA", at positions 338 to 729 of the family's 1533-position model. The record is from RNAcentral.